Molecule: ribosomal RNA, 511 nt
Filed under: uncultured Eubacterium sp.
Lineage: Bacteria; Bacillati; Bacillota; Clostridia; Eubacteriales; Eubacteriaceae
Description: bacterial SSU rRNA
Rfam family: Bacterial small subunit ribosomal RNA
Source: RNAcentral
UUCGCUGGCGGCGUGGAUUAGGCAUGCAAGUCGAACGGUAGGAUACUUUCGGGUAUCUGAGAGUGGCGAACGGGUGAGUAACACGUAGGUGAUCUACCCUCAAAUCGGGGACAACCCAGGGAAACUUGGGCUAAUACCGGAUGAGUGCGGUAACGCAUAAAAGGUGGCGUAAGCUGCCGUUUGGGGAUGAGCCUGCGCCCUAUUAGUUAGUUGGUGAGGUAACGGCUCACCAAGGCGAUGAUAGGUAGGCGGCCUUAACGGGUGGUCGCCCACACUGGGAUUGAGAUACGGCCCAGACUCGUACGGGAGGCAGCAGUCGAGAAUAGUCUACAAUGGACGAAAGUCUGAUUGUGCGACGCCGCGUGAACGAAGAAGCCCUUCGGGGUGUAAAGUUCUUUUAUAUGUGAGCAAUGCUUCUUAGGUGAAUAGUCUGAGGAGAGAGAUAUUAGCAUAUGAAUAAGCAACGGCUAACUCCGUGCCAGCAGCCGCGGUAACACGGGGGUUCCGAGCG